This is an RNA transcript of Fukomys damarensis (Damara mole-rat), 2314 nucleotides long. RefSeq lists it as uncharacterized. NCBI's taxonomy places the organism in Eukaryota, Metazoa, Chordata, Mammalia, Rodentia, Bathyergidae. The record is from RefSeq and is a predicted model, not a curated record. The transcript has 2 exons.
GCCUCAGCCUCCCGAGUGCUGGGAUUACAGGCGUGUGCCGCCGCCACGCCCGGCUCAGGGGCCUGUGUUAAGUAGGUGGCUCCUGGCCUGGAUCCAUCCCUGGUCCAAACGGGAGCGUCCAGCCCCUUAAUUUGGGGUUGCCUAGUGGAGUUCAGAGCUCGGUAUCCACGAGGCACUUACAGAGUCUAAUUAAUGUUUGCAAAAAAAGACUUGGAGAUCCCUCGGAGGAAAAAGUACCCUGUGUAAGACGAGCCGGGCAGACACACUUGGUGGGUGUGACCAGGCGGGCUGUUUACAGAAGCAGCCUGGCAAAGUAGGUUACAGGCCAGGCGGCCCCACCUCUCCACCCGAGCCAGAAGUGGGCUACAGACGGUCCUGUGGUCCCGCCGGGACGGUGACGGCCGGAUUUCACGGAGGGAGCACAGAUCCCCGAGGCAAAACGGUCGGCUUCACCGCCAGGCCUGCGAGUCUGGUGGGCUAAUUAGGAAACCACAGCCGGAGCUUCCGACUUCACAAGCACUGCAGAAACACGUUGGAGUUCCUUUCCCUGCAACAGUAGUUGGAAGUAGCGGCCCCCACCCGUAGUCCCAGCACUGCAGGGGCCUAGGAUAGCGGACGCACAAACUCCAGCCCAGCUAGGGACACAUCCACACCCCGUCAAGACUUGGAAAAAGAAAAGACUGUCCUGCUGCCAUGCGGCCCUGCCUCCCCGCCUCGGAGCCAGCUGACUGGGGACUGAACCCUGCACAAACGGAGAGGCGAAAUAACCUUCCCUUCCUUUAAAAAGAGCGGGGAGGGCAGGGGGUUGUGGGUGAAAGGUCUGGUUCAACCCUAAGUACUGCGGACAAGAUGGGGGCAGGGAGGAGGAGGGAAGGAAGGAAACCAAUGCCUGCCGCUCCAGUUAGCUACGGACAGGCUGGGGGCGGUCACUUGAGCCCAGGAGGUCAGGUCGGCCCGGGCAACACAGUGAGACAAACCAAAAAAAGCAAACAAACUCCUCUGUAAUUCAACCCCCCAGCUGUGUGGUCCUUACCAGCUUCUGCUCUAGUUUUGUUUGGUACUGGUGACUGAACCCCAGGGUCCCACACUUGCUGGGCAAGCACCUCACCGCCCAGGAGCACGCGCAGUCCUAUCCUGGGCUUCCUUUGUGAGCUGUGCGCGCGUGUGUUGGCGUGUGUGCGCGUGUGUGUGUGUGCGUGCGCGCGCGUGUGUGCAUUUCUGGCCUGGGCAGGCAGGUGCUCUACGGCUGAGCCCCCCAUCGCCCGCUCUUUGGGACGGGGUCUCCUUGACUUGCUUGAACCCCUCUGGCCUUCCCUCCCGGCCAGCUGGGUCGGUCUGUGCACCGACCCCACGCAGCUCAACAUUUCCAUCUUUUGAAUUCUCCUUUCAUAGUCAACUCCGCCCAUCAAAGUAUUUAUUGAGCAGAUGCAGAAAGCGGGGACCAGGAAUGUUUAGCGUAGGGAUAAGUGAAUUCAGACAACCUACCACAAAAAACUAAGACAAGAAAAGUUGGCCUUGUUUCUUCAAAUGGCAAAACUACAGCCAAUGGUUAGGAAAAAUAAAUCCAGUGUGGUAUUUGCACAAGCGGCUUUAAUUUUCGCAGUGUAAUAGAUACCGUGCUUACUUUUUCAUUUUUUGAAAGGAGACAUAAAUCUUUUAAAACUUUUAAUAUUUCUCUCGGACCUCUCAAGCAAGUCACAUUUUUGUGACAGAGGCUCUGGCCAGCAACUGAUCCACUUGCGCCAUCAAGUCAACCAGGUGGUUUAUUAAGGAAACGUCUUCUGUUCCCCGACUGUAUUUCAAGUUCUACCUCAGGGUGCCCAGCAGGUGGGCAAAGCUCCACGAAGCAGAUAUAUUAGAAUCCCCUGGGAUUUUGGAAAACAUAUUUUUCCCUUUGUUUACUCCCUAGGAUUCUCAUAUUCCAUUCCUAGGGAGCCACAAACGAAGCAGCGUAGGAGACCCAAGUAAAGUGUGCGUGAAAAUAGGGGAAACACAGAGACUUUGUCCUACAGCGAGGUUCUGUCUAAGCGGAUAUUAGAAAAUAAAAUAUUCAAGGGCCGGGGAUUUAGCUCAGUGGCGCUGUGAGUGCCUGGCAAGUGCAAGGUCUUGAGUUCAAUGCCCGAAACAGUGGGAGGGGGAGAAAUAAGUUAAUUAAUUAAUUAAUUAACUAAUUCAGGCUGGAGAGUGGAGCGUUCUGAGACCCUGGGUUCAAAAGCCAGAACCAAAACAAAUAAAAAAGCCCUUUAAUACAUUAUGUUUCAGGAUAAAAAAUACACAAUACUGAACAGUUGUGUCUUCUUUUUCUGUGUGUUUU